This 510-nucleotide ribosomal RNA is filed under the name uncultured bacterium. Its description in RNAcentral is "partial 16S ribosomal RNA". It matches the Rfam family "Bacterial small subunit ribosomal RNA", at positions 28 to 507 of the family's 1533-position model. The record is from RNAcentral.
GACGAACGCUGGCGGCGUGCCUAACACAUGCAAGUCGAACGAAGAGAGAUGGAGGCUUGCUUCUAUCAGUCUGAGUGGCGCACGUGUGUGAAACGCGGAAACAACCUGCACUUCAGAGGGGGACAACAGUGGGAAACGACUUCUUAUACCACAAACGAUCUAAUCUCGGGAUCGAGGAGAGAAGGACGGUGGCGUCUACAUGUAAGCUAUCACUGAAGGAGGGGUAUGCGGCUGGUUAGGUAGUUGGGGGGGUAAGGGCCCACCCAAGCGAGGGUCAGUAGCCGGUCUGGGAGGAUGGACGGCCACAUUGGGACUGGGACACCGCCCAGGCUCCUACGGGGGGGAGCAGGGGGGAAUCUUCCGCAAUGGACGGAAGUCUGGCGGGGCAACGCCGCGUGGGUGAUGACGGCCUUCGGGUUGUAAAGCUCUGUUAAUCGGGAAGAAAGGCCUUCUUGCGAAUAGUGAGAAGGAUUGACGGUACCGGAAUAGAAAGCCACGGCUAACUACGUG